This 296-nucleotide ribosomal RNA is filed under the name uncultured bacterium. RNAcentral describes it as "partial 16S ribosomal RNA". It matches the Rfam family "Bacterial small subunit ribosomal RNA", at positions 775 to 1067 of the family's 1533-position model. The record is from RNAcentral.
GGAUUAGAUACCCUGGUAGUCCACGCCGUAAACGAUGGGCACUAGUUGGUGCGGGUAUUGACCCCUGCGCUGACGCAGCAAACGCAUUAAGUGCCCCGCCUGGGGAGUACGGCCGCAAGGCUAAAACUCAAAGGAAUUGACGGGGGCCCGCACAAGCGGUGGAGCAUGUGGAUUAAUUCGACGCAACGCGCAGAACCUUACCCGGCCUUGACAUCCUGGGAAGCCGCCCGAAAAGGCGGUGUGCUCUUCGGAGAGCCCAGUGACAGGUGCUGCAUGGCUGUCGUCAGCUCGUGCCG